This 235-nucleotide unclassified non-coding RNA is filed under the name plant metagenome. RNAcentral's name for it is "partial contains small subunit ribosomal RNA, internal transcribed spacer 1, and 5.8S ribosomal RNA". The record is from RNAcentral.
UUUCCGUAGGUGAACCUGCGGAAGGAUCAUUAACGAUUAAUGGUCAUUCUAGCCCGACCUCCAACCCUAUGUUUAAUUACUAUGUUUGUUUGGCGCGCCCGUUUCCCGACCGCCGGUAGACCUUGGACUUCUCGCCCCUGCCCGCCAAUAGCCUUCUACAAACUCGCGAUCAAUUGUGAUGUUUGGGUAAUAAAUUUAAUAGUUAAAACUUUCAACAACGGAUCUCUUGGUUCUG